This 409-nucleotide ribosomal RNA is filed under the name uncultured Rhodanobacter sp. RNAcentral's name for it is "bacterial SSU rRNA". It matches the Rfam family "Bacterial small subunit ribosomal RNA", at positions 958 to 1392 of the family's 1533-position model. Lineage: Bacteria; Pseudomonadati; Pseudomonadota; Gammaproteobacteria; Lysobacterales; Rhodanobacteraceae. The record is from RNAcentral.
AACGCGAAGAACCUUACCUGGCCUUUACAUGUCCGGAAUCCUGCAGAGAAGCGGGUGUUCCUUUCGGAAUAGGAACACAGGUGGUGCAUGGCUGUUGUCAACUCGUGUCGUGAGAUGUUGGGUUAAGUCCCGCAACGAGCGCAACCCUUGUCCUUAGUUGCCAGCAAGUAAUGGGGGGAACUCUAAGGAGACUGCCGGUGACAAACCGGAGGAAGGGGGGGAUGACGUCAAGUCAUCAUGGCCCUUUAGGCAGGGGCUACACACUUAUUAAAGGGUGGGAACAAAGGGGUGCGAGACCGCGAGGUGGAACCAAUCCCAGAAACCCGAUUCCAGUCCGGAUUGGAGUCUGCAACUCGGCUCCCUGAAGUCGGAAUCGCUAGUUAAUCACCAUUGGGUCUUGUACACACCG